Molecule: ribosomal RNA, 2513 nt
Filed under: human gut metagenome
Description: bacterial LSU rRNA
Rfam family: Bacterial large subunit ribosomal RNA
Source: RNAcentral
UUAAGCGACUAAGCGUACACGGUGGAUGCCCUGGCAGUCAGAGGCGAUGAAGGACGUGCUAAUCUGCGAAAAGCGUCGGUAAGGUGAUAUGAACCGUUAUAACCGGCGAUGUCCGAAUGGGGAAACCCAGUGCAAUUCGUUGCACUAUCGUUAACUGAAUACAUAGGUUAACGAGGCGAACCGGGGGAACUGAAACAUCUAAGUACCCCGAGGAAAAGAAAUCAACCGAGAUUCCCCCAGUAGCGGCGAGCGAACGGGGAGCAGCCCAGAGUCUGAAUCAGCUUGUGUGUUAGUGGAACGGUCUGGAAAGUCCGACGGUACAGGGUGAUAGUCCCGUACACCAAAAUGCACAGGCUGUGAACUCGAAGAGUAGGGCGGGACACGUGGUAUCCUGUCUGAAUAUGGGGGGACCAUCCUCCAAGGCUAAAUACUCCUGACUGACCGAUAGUGAACCAGUACCGUGAGGGAAAGGCGAAAAGAACCCCGGCGAGGGGAGUGAAAAAGAACCUGAAACCGUGUACGUACAAGCAGUGGGAGCACCUUCGGGUGUGACUGCGUACCUUUUGUAUAAUGGGUCAGCGACUUAUAUUCUGUAGCAAGGUUAACCGUAUAGGGGAGCCGCAGGGAAACCGAGUCUUAACUGGGCGUUAAGUUGCAGGGUAUAGACCCGAAACCCGGUGAUCUAGCCAUGGGCAGGUUGAAGGUUGGGUAACACUAACUGGAGGACCGAACCGACUAAUGUUGAAAAAUUAGCGGAUGACUUGUGGCUGGGGGUGAAAGGCCAAUCAAACCGGGAGAUAGCUGGUUCUCCCCGAAAGCUAUUUAGGUAGCGCCUCGUGAACUCAUCUUCGGGGGUAGAGCACUGUUUCGGCUAGGGGGUCAUCCCGACUUACCAACCCGAUGCAAACUACGAAUACCGAAGAAUGUUAUCACGGGAGACACACGGCGGGUGCUAACGUCCGUCGUGAAGAGGGAAACAACCCAGACCGCCAGCUAAGGUCCCAAAGUCAUGGUUAAGUGGGAAACGAUGUGGGAAGGCACAGACAGCCAGGAUGUUGGCUUAGAAGCAGCCAUCAUUUAAAGAAAGCGUAAUAGCUCACUGGUCGAGUCGGCCUGCGCGGAAGAUGUAACGGGGCUAAACCAUGCACCGAAGCUGCGGCAGCGACACUAUGUGUUGUUGGGUAGGGGAGCGUUCUGUAAGCCGUUGAAGGUGUGCUGUGAGGCAUGCUGGAGGUAUCAGAAGUGCGAAUGCUGACAUAAGUAACGAUAAAGCGGGUGAAAAGCCCGCUCGCCGGAAGACCAAGGGUUCCUGUCCAACGUUAAUCGGGGCAGGGUGAGUCGACCCCUAAGGCGAGGCCGAAAGGCGUAGUCGAUGGGAAACAGGUUAAUAUUCCUGUACUUGGUGUUACUGCGAAGGGGGGACGGAGAAGGCUAUGUUAGCCGGGCGACGGUUGUCCCGGUUUAAGCAUGUAGGCGGAGGUUCCAGGUAAAUCCGGUACCUUUUAACGCUGAGGUGUGAUGACGAGGCACUACGGUGCUGAAGUAACAAAUGCCCUGCUUCCAGGAAAAGCCUCUAAGCAUCAGGUAACAUUAAAUCGUACCCCAAACCGACACAGGUGGUCAGGUAGAGAAUACCAAGGCGCUUGAGAGAACUCGGGUGAAGGAACUAGGCAAAAUGGUGCCGUAACUUCGGGAGAAGGCACGCUGAUAUGUAGGUGAAGCCCCUGCGGGCGGAGCUGAAAUCAGUCGAAGAUACCAGCUGGCUGCAACUGUUUAUUAAAAACACAGCACUGUGCAAACACGAAAGUGGACGUAUACGGUGUGACGCCUGCCCGGUGCCGGAAGGUUAAUUGAUGGGGUUAGCGGCAACGCGAAGCUCUUGAUCGAAGCCCCGGUAAACGGCGGCCGUAACUAUAACGGUCCUAAGGUAGCGAAAUUCCUUGUCGGGUAAGUUCCGACCUGCACGAAUGGCGUAAUGAUGGCCAGGCUGUCUCCACCCGAGACUCAGUGAAAUUGAACUCGCUGUGAAGAUGCAGUGUACCCGCGGCAAGACGGAAAGACCCCGUGAACCUUUACUAUAGCUUGACACUGAACAUUGAGCCUUGAUGUGUAGGAUAGGUGGGAGGCUUUGAAGCGUGGACGCCAGUCUGCGUGGAGCCAACCUUGAAAUACCACCCUUUAAUGGCUGGUGUUCUAACGUAGACCCGUAAUCCGGGUUGCGGACAGUGUCUGGUGGGUAGUUUGACUGGGGCGGUCUCCUCCCAAAGAGUAACGGAGGAGCACGAAGGUUAGCUAAUCCUGGUCGGACAUCAGGAGGUUAGUGCAAUGGCAUAAGCUAGCUUGACUGCGAGCGUGACGGCGCGAGCAGGUGCGAAAGCAGGUCAUAGUGAUCCGGUGGUUCUGAAUGGAAGGGCCAUCGCUCAACGGAUAAAAGGUACUCCGGGGAUAACAGGCUGAUACCGCCCAAGAGUUCAUAUCGACGGCGGUGUUUGGCACCUCGAUGUCGGCUCAUC